This 509-nucleotide ribosomal RNA is filed under the name uncultured bacterium. Its description in RNAcentral is "partial 16S ribosomal RNA". It matches the Rfam family "Bacterial small subunit ribosomal RNA", at positions 29 to 507 of the family's 1533-position model. The record is from RNAcentral.
ACGAACGCUGGCGGCGUGCUUAACACAUGCAAGUCGAACGAAGAGCGAUGGAAGCUUGCUUCUAUCAAUCUUAGUGGCGAACGGGUGAGUAACGCGUAAUCAACCUGCCCUUCAGAGGGGGACAACAGUUGGAAACGACUGCUAAUACCGCAUACGAUCUGACCUCGGCAUCGAGGAUAGAUGAAAGGUGGCCUCUACAUGUAAGCUAUCACUGAAGGAGGGGAUUGCGUCUGAUUAGCUAGUUGGAGGGGUAACGGCCCACCAAGGCGAUGAUCAGUAGACGGUCUGAGAGGAUGAACGGCCACAUUGGGACUGAGACACGGCCCAGACUCCUACGGGAGGCAGCAGUGGGGAAUCUUCCGCAAUGGACGAAAGUCUGACGGAGCAACGCCGCGUGAGUGAUGACGGCCUUCGGGUUGUAAAGCUCUGUUAAUCGGGACGAAAGGCCUUUUUGCGAAUAGUGAGAAGGAUUGACGGUACCGGAAUAGAAAGCCACGGCUAACUACGUG